RNAcentral lists this long non-coding RNA (536 nucleotides) under Panax ginseng (ginseng). RNAcentral describes it as "long non-coding RNA (PGIN_LNC010884)". The record is from RNAcentral. Lineage: Eukaryota; Viridiplantae; Streptophyta; Magnoliopsida; Apiales; Araliaceae.
CCAGCAGCAAUCAUUCAGUGAAACGUCACAUACAUCCUCUCCUCAUGUAUAUAAAUCACAUAAAAAUAAUGAAAUCACACAUUAAUGGCACAACUGACAGUCAAAUCAAUUACAUUCUCCUUCUAGUUACAUGACUGAUUAUCCAUUGUUUAGUUUUGGCAGAGGUGCGGUGAUUAAUAAAUUGAAUCUCCAGUUGCUUUUCCCCAAUUCAAAAAUGUAAAAAUGAAAAAUAAACUAAUACAGUAUCAAUGGAUAAUUGUGACCUUACUGCCCAAAUGACCAGAGAACAAGCCGAUCAAAAAAAAAGACCAAAGAACAAUCUUCUACUUUUCCAAUGGAACAAAUUUUAGGCAGCUUAGUCAAUCAUUCCACUUGGCUCCCCACUUUUUUAGAAAGUUCUUUUACACUUUUUAAUUAAUCAAUAUGGACACACUACUUAGCUCAUGACUUAAUAUAGUCAUCACUGGUGAUUUCUUUUCUGAACAGUAUACAGUAAUACUCAUUGAGGAAUUUCAUCAAUCAUGUACAGUAUAAAC